UACGUAGGGUGCGAGCGUUAAUCGGAAUUACUGGGCGUAAAGCGUGCGCAGGCGGUUUUGUAAGCCAGAUGUGAAAUCCCCGGGCUCAACCUGGGAAUGGCAUUUGGGACUGCAAGGCUGGAGUGCGGCAGAGGAGACUGGAAUUCCUGGUGUAGCAGUGAAAUGCGUAGAUAUCAGGAGGAACACCGGUGGCGAAGGCGGAUCUCUGGGCCGAUACUGACGCUGAGGAGCGAAAGCGUGGGGAGCGAACAGG
This 253-nucleotide ribosomal RNA is filed under the name uncultured bacterium. Its description in RNAcentral is "partial 16S ribosomal RNA". It matches the Rfam family "Bacterial small subunit ribosomal RNA", at positions 524 to 776 of the family's 1533-position model. The record is from RNAcentral.